AAUGUCAAAAAAUGCCGUUUAUCGCAUUUUGCAACCAAACUCUUCAUAUGUAUGUGUGUGUUAUGACUGUAUGACUGCAGAAGAGAACUGCUCUGUUCCCACAACUCAGUUUUUCUGGGACUUGAAAACAGACGCUCAGCAGAUUUUAAAGGGGGGAAUCUUGAUCAAAUCGUGGGUUUACACACAAACAUGUAAUACAGUGCCAGAUUUUCUGGAUGUUAUAUACACAUUUGUAUUUGCAAACAUAUACCAUAUUGUUUUAAAUGAUGUAUUUUUGUGUGGGUUUUUACAUUCAGAGAAAGUUACAGUGGAUCUUGAUUUUGGAGGAGGUGAAGUCCAAUCUAAAAGAGUCCCCUCAAGUAUCAUCACCAUGGUACAGUGUCUGUGAAGAUAGUGAUGCAGACCCAGCAUUCACAAAAAAGAGAGGUCCCAUAAAGAGAAGAUCCUGGAGCAAACAGGAAGUACAUGCUGUGGUGAAAGCUGAACCAUUGGCUCUAAAAACCAGAGAUCAGCUUUGGAUUUUUAUAUUAAAAACUGAAUCUCGGCUCUUUAGAUAAAAAAUCUGAAUAACACUUUUAUAGUAAGUAUACACUAUACAUCAUUAGUUUAGCACUAACUCUACAUUAAUAGACUUUAGGAAGCAGUUUAUAAAUACAGCUUCAAACGCUGUAUUCUUGACUUGACUUAAUU
Non-coding RNA from Danio rerio (zebrafish), 690 nucleotides. Lineage: Eukaryota; Metazoa; Chordata; Actinopteri; Cypriniformes; Danionidae. The record is from RefSeq and is a predicted model, not a curated record.